GUGGCUGGUAUGCUAACACGAUGCAAGUCGAACGAAAGUUAUACUUAGCUGGCGGACGGGUGAUAUCUGAGAAUCUACCUUUAUGAAGGGAAUAACACUUGGAAACGAUGUGCUAAUGCCCUAGUAUGCUUAGCAGUGAAACAGAUGUUCUGCCUGAAGAUGAGCUCGCGCCUGAUUAGCUAGUUGGUAGAGUAAACGCCUACCAUGAGCACGAUCAGUAGCUGGUUUGAGAGGACGAUCAGCCACACUGGGACUGAGACACGGACCAAACUUCAUACGGAAGGCAGCAGUGGGGAAUUUUCCGCAAUGAGCGAAAGCUUGACGGAGCAAUACCGCGUGAGGGAAGAAUGCCUGUGGGUUGUAAACCUCUUUUAAAAGGGAAGACAAUCUGACGGUACCUAAAGAAUAAGCAUCGGAUAACUCCGUGCCAGCAGACGCGGUAAUACUGGGGAAUUGCAAAGCGUCAUCCGGAAUUACUGGGCCGUAACAGCGUCCUGCAAGUGGCUUAAAAAGUCUGAUGGUAAGCUUUUAGAGGCUCAAUUCUGAGUAAGCAGUGGAAACUGUUAGGUAGAGUAUUGGAUGGGUAAAGGGACUUCCCAGUUUUACGGUGCAAUGAGUAGAUAUUGGAAGAAAACAAUAAGGAAAAGCUU
This 650-nucleotide ribosomal RNA is filed under the name uncultured Nemalionopsis sp. Its description in RNAcentral is "bacterial SSU rRNA". It matches the Rfam family "Bacterial small subunit ribosomal RNA", at positions 36 to 724 of the family's 1533-position model. Lineage: Eukaryota; Rhodophyta; Florideophyceae; Thoreales; Thoreaceae. The record is from RNAcentral.